GACGAACGCUGGCGGCGUGCUUAACACAUGCAAGUCGAACGGAAAGGCCCUGCUUGCAGGGUGCUCGAGUGGCGAACGGGUGAGUAACACGUGGGUGAUCUGCCCCUUACUUUGGGAUAAGCCUGGGAAACUGGGUCUAAUACUGGAUAGGACCAUGCUGUAGGUGGUGUGGUGGAAAGAUUAGUUUCGGUAAGGGAUGAGUUGGCGGCCUAUCAGCUGGUUGGUGGGGUAAUGGCCUACCAAGGCGUCGACGGGUAGCCGGCCUGAGAGUGUGGACGGCCGAAUUGGCACUGUGGUACGGACCAGCCUCCUACGCGAGGCCGCAGUGGGGAAGAUUGCACAAUGGGCGCAUGCCUGAUGCAGUGAUGCAGCGUUGGCGCUGACGGGCUUCGGGUUGUAAGCUCCUUUCGGCCAUGUCGAAGCCCUUGUGGUGACGGUAGUGGUAGAAGAAGCACCGGCUAACUCCGUG
This 469-nucleotide ribosomal RNA is filed under the name uncultured bacterium. RNAcentral's name for it is "partial 16S ribosomal RNA". It matches the Rfam family "Bacterial small subunit ribosomal RNA", at positions 28 to 507 of the family's 1533-position model. The record is from RNAcentral.